GCUGUGGUGGUUCAGGUAGAAUUCUCACUUUCCGUGCAGGAGACCUGGGUUCGAUUCCCGGCCAAUGCA
This 69-nucleotide transfer RNA is filed under the name Loxodonta africana (African savanna elephant). It matches the Rfam family "tRNA". Rfam says of the family: Transfer RNA (tRNA) molecules are approximately 80 nucleotides in length. Their secondary structure includes four short double-helical elements and three loops (D, anti-codon, and T loops). The record is from Rfam by way of RNAcentral. Lineage: Eukaryota; Metazoa; Chordata; Mammalia; Proboscidea; Elephantidae.